UAUGCCCAGAUAUGUGUGUGAUUUGUCAAGUGGCACAGCCUGUCCAUUUAUAGUCGGCGUUUGCCUUAAGUCCGUUGAUCUAAUUGUCCUCAGUGUGAAUAUUACAUGUCCGGUUUUUUUUGCAUUUAUGUUAAUGCACCACUUCUUGGCCCAUAUAGAGAAGUGUUGUAGGUACCGCUGGUUAUUUUUGACUGCCACAUUUGGGAUUGCAGAUGCGCUCAUUAUCACCGUGUCGUCGGCAUACGUGGACAGCAGCAUUGAUUCCCGUUCUGGAUGGAAGCCAGUGCUGUCAGGGAUGAGGUGAUUUGGACAGCUCCAAUGCAUCAACAAUCUGCAUCAGCUCAGGCAGUGUGACUGGUCUGAAGGGAAUCCUGAUUUCCUGGUCUGGUUGUAGCUGCUUCUGCCGUUUUGACUGCUCACGCUCUCUGUUGAUUGCGGUCCGCUCUUCAUCUGAGUUGGAUAGUAUCGGGCUGAAUCUCUCCUCCAGGAUUGUGAGCCCCUUAUUAAGACGAUUUUGCGCCGCCCUGUAGUUUCGUCUGGCUUCGAUGGUGCGAGUCGCCAGCCAGAUCCUCUUGCACUGCUGUUUGUUGGAAAGCAGCUUGCUAGUAGCCACGUCCAGCUUAAGGUGAUGGUGCCGGUGAUGUUGCUGUGACCGCUGCUGAUGUUGAUGCUGUCGCUGCUGUGGCCAUCUUCGAUGUGAGUUUGGAUGCUGCUGUUGAUUUUGUGUUGUUGCUGCUG
Molecule: long non-coding RNA, 738 nt
Organism: Drosophila miranda
Lineage: Eukaryota; Metazoa; Arthropoda; Insecta; Diptera; Drosophilidae
Exons: 3
Source: RefSeq, a predicted model, not a curated record